Hypomesus transpacificus is the source of this 429-nucleotide long non-coding RNA. RefSeq lists it as uncharacterized. The transcript has 2 exons. Lineage: Eukaryota; Metazoa; Chordata; Actinopteri; Osmeriformes; Osmeridae. The record is from RefSeq and is a predicted model, not a curated record.
AGAGCCUCCGUGACCUCAUCCUAAUGAAGACUCCUCAGCUCCCAGCUUCCGUGUUAACACCAUCACACCUGGGAAUGACACAGAAUGGCCCGAAAGACAGUCAGAGUUGGCCAGUUUUUGUAUUUUUUUAUUCCUGAAAAGUUAAUGGUCAGGAGGAGCCUCUCUGAGUGUCUGUCCAGACCCCUGGUUACCAUGACAACCAGAAGGAUCACCUGCGUACCUGUUCCACCUGUUUGUCUCAUACUGUAGGUGAUCCACUGUUGGAAAAUGACAGUGAGAGCUCAAAUUAGAACUGUUGCAUUUCAGUGGAUGCAACAAGAAUAGAAAUGAUGCUUGAUGUCAGUUUAGCAACUGUAUACAAAAGGCCUGCUCUGUAAACCUCCCACCGUUCUUCUUCAAAUAGAAAAUAAACCAAAAUAAAUAAAAGUA